GCGAGCAUGGCGGAAUCGGCAGACGCGCUAUCUUGAGGGGGUAGUGAGAGAAAUCUCGUGUGGGUUCAAGUCCCACUGUUCGCA
This 84-nucleotide transfer RNA is filed under the name Aerococcus suis. It matches the Rfam family "tRNA". Rfam says of the family: Transfer RNA (tRNA) molecules are approximately 80 nucleotides in length. The record is from Rfam by way of RNAcentral. Lineage: Bacteria; Bacillati; Bacillota; Bacilli; Lactobacillales; Aerococcaceae.